AAUGUUAAGAUUAGCCAUGCAUGUCUAGUAUAACCCUUUGCACUGUGAGACUGCGACGGCUCAUUAUAUCAGAUACUGUUUAUUUGAUAGUGCCUACUACUUGGAUUACCGUAAUAAUUCUUAAACUAAUACCUGCCAAAAGCCUGCACUUCUGCAACAAGCGUAUUUAUUAAAUAUACAUACCCACCGCUUCUGCGACCUUGGGUGACUCAUAAUAACUUCCCUAAUCAUACGCUUCGGCCACUAUGAUUCAUGGAAUUUCUGCCCUAUCCCCUUUUGAUGGUAGGGUAUUGGCCUACCAUGGCCCUAACGGGUAACGGAUAAUUAAGGUUCGAUUCCAGAUAGGGAACCUGAAACACGGCUACCACAUCCAAGGAAGGCAGCAGGCGCGCAGAUUACCCAAUCCUGACUCAGGGAGGUAGUGACAAUAAAUAACAAUACUGGACUUUUUCAAGCCUAGUAAUUGGAAUGAGAACAAUUUAAAUCCCUUAUCGAGUAUC
This 500-nucleotide ribosomal RNA is filed under the name uncultured eukaryote. RNAcentral describes it as "SSU rRNA". It matches the Rfam family "Eukaryotic small subunit ribosomal RNA", at positions 34 to 545 of the family's 1831-position model. The record is from RNAcentral.